CAGUAGCCGCGGUAAUACGGAGGGUGCAAGCGUUAAUCGGAAUUACUGGGCGUAAAGCGUGCGUAGGCGGUUCGUUAAGUCUGUUGUGAAAGCCCCGGGCUCAACCUGGGAAUGGCAAUGGAUACUGGCGAGCUAGAGUGUGUCAGAGGAUGGUGGAAUUCCCGGUGUAGCGGUGAAAUGCGUAGAGAUCGGGAGGAACAUCAGUGGCGAAGGCGGCCAUCUGGGACAACACUGACGCUGAGGCACGAAAGCGUGGGGAGCAAACAGGAUUAGAUACCCGCGUAGUCCCUGUCUCUUAUAC
This 301-nucleotide ribosomal RNA is filed under the name uncultured bacterium. Its description in RNAcentral is "partial 16S ribosomal RNA". It matches the Rfam family "Bacterial small subunit ribosomal RNA", at positions 509 to 807 of the family's 1533-position model. The record is from RNAcentral.